ACGCUCGACACCUACGGAGGCAGCAGUGGGGAAUAUUGCACAAUGGGGGAAACCCUGAUGCAUCGACGCCGCGUGAAGGAAGAAGUAUCUCGGUAUGUAAACUUCUAUCAGCAGGGAAGAAAGUGACGGUACCUGACUAAGAAGCCCCGGCUAACUACGUGUCAGCAGCCGCGGUAAUCUGAGCGGGCUGGCAAGGC
This 197-nucleotide ribosomal RNA is filed under the name uncultured bacterium. Its description in RNAcentral is "partial 16S ribosomal RNA". It matches the Rfam family "Bacterial small subunit ribosomal RNA", at positions 328 to 539 of the family's 1533-position model. The record is from RNAcentral.